This 541-nucleotide long non-coding RNA is filed under the name Homo sapiens (human). RNAcentral describes it as "novel transcript". The record is from RNAcentral. Lineage: Eukaryota; Metazoa; Chordata; Mammalia; Primates; Hominidae.
UACAAAGCAUGGCAAAAUGAGGAAACCACUGACAGGUGAAGAAUUUGCACAAUGGAAAACCACCUUGACCAUCUCAUGACUUUAUACAGGAAUCGGAGACAUCCAAGGCCAUUCCAUUUCUAAAUCACACUUAUCCCUCAAUCAAGUCAGUGACUGGAUCAUCUCCUAAGGUUUCACCUGCUUUGCAUCAGUGAGUUGGACUAUGGAUCAGGUACUGUGCUCAGCAUCAGAAAAUGGGAUGACAAUGAACAGAGUAACAGGACUAUAUUUCUGAAAAAGGAUGAACUUACUGGAAACAGGAUUGCGUGCCUGAAAUAUAUCCAAAUGGAUAUAAAUGUCAACUCAGUUCUGGGCUGGAGAUAUAGAUUUGGAAUGCACCAACAAUGCAGAUGGUAAUCCUGGCAUGCGAGUAGGUGAGAUCAUCCAGGGAGAUGGCCUAUAAUGAGAGCCUACAACAUGUCAGAUUCUGUUCACUCUCUGCUAUCAGUUGCUGUGUCCUUAAGGAAUGCAGACAAUGUUAAUUCAAGCAAAACAAUAGAAA